UCCUAGUUAACCUAGGCAGUCUCGCUAGAGUGCCCACCAUUACAUGUUGGCAACUAACGACAAGGGUUGCGCUCGUUGCGGGACUUAACCCAACACCUCACGGCACGAGCUGACGACAGCCAUGCAGCACCUGUGCACAUGUCUCUUGCGAGAAAGCUGCAUUUCUGCAGCGAUCAUGUGCAUGUCAAGUCCAGGUAAGGUUCUUCGCGUUGCAUCGAAUUAAACCACAUGCUCCACUGCUUGUGCGGGUCCCCGUCAAUUCUUUUGAGUUUUACCCUUGCGAGCGUACUCCCCAGGCGGUAUACUUAACGCGUUCGCUUCGGUACUGUCAGGGUUGAGCCUAACAACACCAAGUAUACAUCGUUUAAGGCAAGGACUAC
RNAcentral lists this unclassified non-coding RNA (380 nucleotides) under uncultured Chlamydiales bacterium. RNAcentral describes it as "contains 16S-23S intergenic spacer region". Lineage: Bacteria; Pseudomonadati; Chlamydiota; Chlamydiia; Chlamydiales. The record is from RNAcentral.